RNAcentral lists this long non-coding RNA (1732 nucleotides) under Citrus sinensis (sweet orange). RNAcentral's name for it is "long non-coding RNA (CSIN_LNC002967)". Lineage: Eukaryota; Viridiplantae; Streptophyta; Magnoliopsida; Sapindales; Rutaceae. The record is from RNAcentral.
AAAGUGCUCUGUAUAGCUUAUAUGUUAAUAUUUAUUGUUGAAUAUAUAGUUCCUAGUUUGUACUGGGUUGCUGUAUUAAGAGUUUGAAUGUUGUGGAACCUGAAUGAUAACAAUUUAUUGAUUUAGUUUCCUAUUUUGUAUUGCACUCAUGAUUGCAGUGAUGUAUUUUUCGGUCUGAUUUUGUCCUAGGAAUGGUAUGAGAAGUUUGAAAUAUGGUGCUUUGCUUUGAGAUAUUGUAUGCCUUCUUGUGAAUUCAUGCAUAAUUAUUCAUGCCUUACCAUGCGGGAUCUCUUCAGCAGCAACAGCACCGCCAUUUGCAGCGGUUACUAUUAACCUCAACAACUUCAUUAUUGCCAGCAACAAUAGGAACACCAGCUUCAACAUCUUCAGCAAUCGCGACAUCUUCAUGCUCUACCACAACAUCACUAUCUUCAGGAUUUUAGGUAAGGCUAUAUCAUCAAAAUUCUAAACCGCUUUGAACUUAGUUUGAAGGGUGAAGGAAAUUUGAAUAGAGUGUAAAACAGUGCAUACAAAUGGCUGUGUAAGAAUUUCAAAUGCACUCCAGACGCUCCACUCUCACUGUGGCUUCUCCUCUAAACCAUUCAUUCAUUUCUUCCGUUUAAGGAGGCCAUUACCAGCCAUCCGUCACUGUUACUGCAUGCAAUUACCAAAAUGCGUUUUGAGCACUCAUGAAUUAAGCAUUUUUGUCCAAAAGAUGCGAGUGAUGGAUGCAAUGAGAAGAACAAGCCAUGGGUAAAGGGUACGUAGAUGCACCUAAGAUAGAGAUACACGAGUCUUGUAACUAAGUUAAUUUCUUGGUUACUAAUUAUAAUGAAGCACUUGAUUUAGAUUCUUGGUUUUAUUUGGAAUUGAUGUACUUUUAAGUUACGAUUGUUGUGGAAAAAAAUUAUAACUACGAAAUAAAAAUUAAUAAUUUAUAAUAAUUUUUAUUAAUUAUUUAUUUUGAAAACAUUUCUUCUCUAUAGUACAACAUAGUAGUAGAAAGAGUAACGCGCUGCAUAUUCUCCAGAUGUUUCCUACUAAUUAUUAUAGUUGCUAAUAUAGUAGUAGCAUAAUAUUUGCUUAUUAGCUUUGUUUACAUUCACUGUUUCUACAGGGAUUGAAAACAGGAAUGUACUAUCUACGGUCACGUGCUGCUGCUGAUGCCAUCAAGUUUACUGUAGAUACUUCUGUUUUUAAGGUAACAAUUUUUGUUGUUUACCAUCAUUUUAACAAUCAGUUUCUCUGUAUACUCAAUAAUAAUAAAAUUUCAACUCUUGGUGAUACAGGAAAAGCCUGAAAAGCCUGAGUUGGUGGUAGAUGAUGAAACCAAGAUGGCACAGGUGGUUUGCUCUCUAACAAACCGUGAAGAGUGCAUGGCUUGUGGCAGUUAGGAGGAACAAAUUUUGGUUUAUAUUUCUUAAAAACAUGUACCCAGGCAUAGGUUAGAGACCCUUAAUUGAAAGGGCAUGUUUUGAUGAUAUGGGUAUCUGAAAUAUGAUCAAGUAACUGUAAUGUGAAGUAACUUAAAGUGCUCUGUAUAGCUUAUAUGUUAAUAUUUAUUGUUGAAUAUAUAGUUCCUAGUUUGUACUGGGUUGCUGUAUUAAGAGUUUGAAUGUUGUGGAACCUGAAUGAUAACAAUUUAUUGAUUUAGUUUCCUAUUUUGUAUUGCACUCAUGAUUGCAGUGAUGUAUUUUUCGGUCUGAUUUUGUCCUAGGAAUGGUAUGAGAAG